This 253-nucleotide ribosomal RNA is filed under the name uncultured bacterium. Its description in RNAcentral is "partial 16S ribosomal RNA". It matches the Rfam family "Bacterial small subunit ribosomal RNA", at positions 524 to 776 of the family's 1533-position model. The record is from RNAcentral.
UACGAAGGGAGCUAGCGUUGUUCGGAAUCACUGGGCGUAAAGCGCACGUAGGCGGAUGUGUCAGUCAGGGGUGAAAUCCCGGAGCUCAACUUCGGAACUGCCUUUGAUACAGCACGUCUUGAGUCCGAUAGAGGUGGGUGGAAUUCCCAGUGUAGAGGUGAAAUUCGUAGAUAUUCGGAAGAACACCAGUGGCGAAGGCGGCUCACUGGACCGGCAUUGACGCUGAGGUGCGAAAGCGUGGGGAGCAAACAGG